UACGUAGGGGGCUAGCGUUAUCCGGAAUUACUGGGCGUAAAGGGUGCGUAGGUGGUUUCUUAAGUCAGAGGUGAAAGGCUACGGCUCAACCGUAGUAAGCCUUUGAAACUGAGAAACUUGAGUGCAGGAGAGGAGAGUAGAAUUCCUAGUGUAGCGGUGAAAUGCGUAGAUAUUAGGAGGAAUACCAGUUGCGAAGGCGGCUCUCUGGACUGUAACUGACACUGAGGCACGAAAGAGUGGGGAGCAAACAGGAUUAGAUACCCGGGUAGUCCCUGAG
Molecule: ribosomal RNA, 277 nt
Filed under: uncultured prokaryote
Description: partial 16S ribosomal RNA
Rfam family: Bacterial small subunit ribosomal RNA
Source: RNAcentral